The sequence is a transfer RNA, 73 nucleotides long. It matches the Rfam family "tRNA". From Rfam's summary of the family: Transfer RNA (tRNA) molecules are approximately 80 nucleotides in length. Their secondary structure includes four short double-helical elements and three loops (D, anti-codon, and T loops).
AGCGGAAUGGAGCAGUUGGCAGCUCGUCGGGCUCAUAACCCGAAGGUCGUUGGUUCAAUUCCAACUUCCGCAA